GACGUAGGGCGCAAGCGUUGUCCGGAAUUAUUGGGCGUAAAGAGCUCGUAGGCGGCUUGUUGCGUCGACUGUGAAAAACCACGACUCAACCGUGGGACUGCAGUCGAUACGGGCAGGCUAGAGUUCGGUAGGGGAGACUGGAAUUCCUGGUGUAGCGGUGAAAUGCGCAGAUAUCAGGAGGAACACCGGUGGCGAAGGCGGGUCUCUGGGCCGAUACUGACGCUGAGGAGCGAAAGCGUGGGGGAGCGAACAGG
This 254-nucleotide ribosomal RNA is filed under the name uncultured bacterium. Its description in RNAcentral is "partial 16S ribosomal RNA". It matches the Rfam family "Bacterial small subunit ribosomal RNA", at positions 524 to 776 of the family's 1533-position model. The record is from RNAcentral.